RNAcentral lists this long non-coding RNA (498 nucleotides) under Panax ginseng (ginseng). Its description in RNAcentral is "long non-coding RNA (PGIN_LNC019144)". The record is from RNAcentral. Lineage: Eukaryota; Viridiplantae; Streptophyta; Magnoliopsida; Apiales; Araliaceae.
CCUUGACAGUUUUCCUGACAGGGAUCUAUCCGGUGAUACACACAUUAGCGAAGGUCAGGCAACCCUGACACUACACACUAUUGGUAGUAACUCCAACAAAAUCGUGGUAUAUGUUGGUGAAACAAACUAGAGAAGGCCAUCCUCAUCGGAGAGGACCGAUGAUGGAAUAUGUUAUACACAUCCUCAAAACAGAUAAAGCUUUACCCCCACAGAUCUCUUGCACAGGAGAGGCACCUCUAUGGAGUAGAAGUCUGUAUCAAGGAUCCAUGACUUUGGUGAUAGCCCCAACGUCAACAUCCUUGAAAACUUGGAUCGCAUGUCCAAGACAUUACUGAUUGUCAUCCCCGGUAGAAUUAACAGGGAACCAAGGAUCAUUCAUUUAUGCAUCAUACAUUUGCAUCAUGUUACUGCACAUGGCAUCAUGUUUAUCUUGUUGCAUUUCAAGUGUCUAGGAUUAUUUAUCCUAUCCAUGCAUUGCAUUGUAUGAAUAUGAUAAAG